This is a non-coding RNA of Cajanus cajan (pigeon pea), 979 nucleotides long. Lineage: Eukaryota; Viridiplantae; Streptophyta; Magnoliopsida; Fabales; Fabaceae. The record is from RefSeq and is a predicted model, not a curated record.
AGUUUUGCCAGGAGAAAAGCAAAAAAGAAGGGGGAACGAGUGAGUGAGUGAGCUAGUGGCGAAACCCGCUCACAAUUUGGCAUCAAAUUUUGAAAACCACCCCACACACACACUUUCACCCUCCAGCGCGCCCUCUCAUCAAACUCCAAUUUCAUUUCUCUCUCUCUUCUAAUCCCAAUCACAACGAUUCUGUUCCCUUUCCCUCCAAUUCUAGGGUUUCUCUCAACGCUAGGGUUCCCAAUUCUCUGGUCCCCCCUCCCCCAUCCAUGGCCACCGAAACCCUAGAAGACUCCAAGCCUCCGCUCCACGACGCCAAAUCGCCACCGGCCUCCGAGAUUCCGGAGAAGGAGGCUUCCGCGGAGGCCGCUAAAUCCGAGGAUGAUGUCGACGGAGCAAGCAACCGGGAAGUAGAAGAGGAAGACGCCGGCGAGAAGAAAGAGAUCGACGAGGACGAUGAAGAGGAGAAAGACGACAACGACGAUGAGGAAGAAGUGGAAGAGGAGGAGGACGAAGCGGAAGAGAAAGAGAAAGGGAAGGCUAAGGGAAAGGGACGCGGCAAGGAGACUCCGAAGAAGAGUAAAGCAUCGGAGAAGAAGGAUCCAGUUACGCCGGCGAGUGAGAGGCCAACGAGGGAGAGGAAAACGGUGGAGCGUUACUCUGUGCCCUCGCCGGCCAAGUCUGCGAGAUCCUCCGCUAGUAAAGGUUUCACAAUUGAGAAGGGACGUGGCACGCAGCUAAAGGAUAUACCAAACGGAUAUUACUCUUGCUGACUUAGCCCCCACCCACUUGAUUAGGCUUAGGCUUGCUCUCAACUUUUUUGUGUUUUAUUAUGAAAUCCUUAACUCACCAGAUUGUGCUUGUAAUCUUGCCAAACAGGCUGUGAUAUUUCCCUGCUGCUAUUGUGGCUGCGGUGCUUUAGAUCAUAGUUGACAUGCCAGCGAUAUCAAUUAUUGCCAUAUGCAAAAGCCUAGAAAACUGA